GACGAACGCUGGCGGCGUGCUUAACACAUGCAAGUCGAACGGAAAGGCCCUGCUUGCAGGGUACUCGAGUGGCGAACGGGUGAGUAACACGUGGGUGAUCUGCCCUGCACUUCGGGAUAAGCCUGGGCAACUGGGUCUAAUACCGGAUAGGAGCCAUUUUUAGCGUGAUGGUUGGAAAGUUUUUUGGGUGUAGGAUGAGCUCGCGGCCUAUCAGCUUGUUGGUGGGGUAAUGGCCUACCAAGGCGGCGACGGGUAGCCGGCCUGAGAGGGUGGACGGCCACAUUGGGACUGAGAUGCGGCACAGACUCCGACGGGAGGCAGCAGUGGGGAAGAUUGCACAAUGGGCGCAAGCCUGAUGCAGCGACGCCGCGUGGGGGAUGACGGCCUUCGGGUUGUAAACUCCUUUCGCUAGGGACGAAGCUUUUUGUGACGGUACCUAGAUAAGAAGCACCGGCUAACUACGUG
Molecule: ribosomal RNA, 465 nt
Filed under: uncultured bacterium
Lineage: Bacteria
Description: partial 16S ribosomal RNA
Rfam family: Bacterial small subunit ribosomal RNA
Source: RNAcentral